ACGUAGGGGGCAAGCGUUAUCCGGAAUUAUUGGGCGUAAAGAGUGCGUAGGUGGUUUUUUAAGCGUGAGGUGAAAGGCAAUAGCUUAACUAUUGUAAGCCUUGCGAACUGGAGGACUUGAGUGCAGGAGAGGAAAGUGGAAUUCCUAGUGUAGCGGUGAAAUGCGUAGAUAUUAGGUAGAACACCAGUGGCGAAGGCAGCUUUCUGGACUGUAUCUGACGCUGAAGCACGAAAGUGUGGGUAGCAAACAG
Molecule: ribosomal RNA, 250 nt
Filed under: uncultured prokaryote
Description: partial 16S rRNA
Rfam family: Bacterial small subunit ribosomal RNA
Source: RNAcentral